Molecule: unclassified non-coding RNA, 318 nt
Filed under: uncultured fungus
Lineage: Eukaryota; Fungi
Description: partial contains small subunit ribosomal RNA, internal transcribed spacer 1, and 5.8S ribosomal RNA
Rfam family: Eukaryotic small subunit ribosomal RNA (bases 1-73)
Source: RNAcentral
ACAAACUUGGUCAUUUAGAGGAAGUAAAAGUCGUAACAAGGUUUCCGUAGGUGAACCUGCGGAAGGAUCAUUAUCGAGUUUUGAAAGGGGUUGUAGCUGGCCUUUCGGGGCAUGUGCACGCCUCGCUCAUUUCCAACUCUAACACCUGUGAACUAGCUGUAGGUCGGUGUAGGAGUCGGUUCUAAUGGAGCCUUCUUCAAGCCUUCCUAUGUCUUUAACAAACUCCAAUAGUAUUAGAAUGUAUUCGCGCUUUAUAAACGCAUCAAUAUAACUUUUAGCAACGGAUCUCUUGGCUCUCGCAUCGAUGAAGAACGCAGC